Molecule: ribosomal RNA, 500 nt
Filed under: uncultured Glomeromycotina
Lineage: Eukaryota; Fungi; Glomeromycota
Description: partial small subunit ribosomal RNA
Rfam family: Eukaryotic small subunit ribosomal RNA
Source: RNAcentral
CCAAUAGCGUAUAUUAAAGUUGUUGCGGUUAAAAAGCUCGUAGUUGGAUCUCGGUGUUAGUAGGUUGGUCAUGCCUCUGGUAUGUACUGGUCUCACUGAUUCCUCCUUCCUGAUGAGCCGUAAUGCCAUUAAUUUGGUGUUGCGGGGAAUUUGGACUGUUACUUUGAAAAAAUUAGAGUGUUUAAAGCAAGCUAACGCUUGAAUACAUUAGCAUGGAAUAAUGAAAUAGGACGUUCGAUCCUAUUUUGUUGGUUUCUAGGAUUGACGUAAUGAUUAAUAGGGAUAGUUGGGGGCAUUAGUAUUCAAUUGUCAGAGGUGAAAUUCUUGGAUUUAUUGAAGACUAACUACUGCGAAAGCAUUUGCCAAGGAUGUUUUCAUUAAUCAAGAACGAAAGUUAGGGGAUCGAAGACGAUCAGAUACCGUCGUAGUCUUAACCAUAAACUAUGCCGACUAGGGAUCGGAUGAUGUUAAUUUUUUAAUGACUCAUUCGGCGCCUUACG